RNAcentral lists this transfer RNA (68 nucleotides) under Rhipicephalus microplus (southern cattle tick). Its description in RNAcentral is "tRNA-Met". RNAcentral also lists the same sequence under 1 other name. The record is from RNAcentral. Lineage: Eukaryota; Metazoa; Arthropoda; Arachnida; Ixodida; Ixodidae.
AACAAAGUAAGACUAAUUUUAAGCUAUUGGGUUCAUACCCCAAAUAUGAUUUAAAUAAUCCUUUGUUA